GGCGGCGUAGCUCAGGCUGGUAGAGCAAACGGCUCAUACCCGUUGCGUCAUCCGUUCAAGUCGGAUCGCCGCCA
Molecule: transfer RNA, 74 nt
Filed under: Candidatus Omnitrophota bacterium
Lineage: Bacteria; Pseudomonadati; Candidatus Omnitrophota
Description: Candidatus Omnitrophica bacterium tRNA-Met
Rfam family: tRNA
About the family: Transfer RNA (tRNA) molecules are approximately 80 nucleotides in length. Their secondary structure includes four short double-helical elements and three loops (D, anti-codon, and T loops). Further hydrogen bonds mediate the characteristic L-shaped molecular structure. tRNAs have two regions of fundamental functional importance: the anti-codon, which is responsible for specific mRNA codon recognition, and the 3' end, to which the tRNAs corresponding amino acid is attached (by aminoacyl-tRNA synthetases). tRNAs cope with the degeneracy of the genetic code in two manners: having more than one tRNA (with a specific anti-codon) for a particular amino acid; and 'wobble' base-pairing, i.e. permitting non-standard base-pairing at the 3rd anti-codon position.
Source: RNAcentral